AAAGAGCCCUACAUAAAAGGAGAAGCUGCUCCAUUAUGGCCCCGAGUCAUGCGUCGGUAUUCCGCGAGGAUGCGGCGAAGCGUUGACAGAGGAAGCGUAGGCCAGCCAUUGAGCUCCGAAAUCACCAUAAUCAGGGUGCCGACCGCGUGGUCUGGUUGGGAAGGCAACACGGGAAGCGGCAUAAAUCAGCUAGCUACUCCCCGGCCCUGCGGAGUCAGAGAAC
RNAcentral lists this non-coding RNA (223 nucleotides) under Candidatus Electrothrix aarhusensis. Lineage: Bacteria; Pseudomonadati; Thermodesulfobacteriota; Desulfobulbia; Desulfobulbales; Desulfobulbaceae. The record is from RNAcentral.